CAGCUCCCCCUUUUCUUCAGCAAAACAACGACAACAACACAGCAAACCACCGCACAACAACAGCAAAAGUCAACCCAAAAUACAACGGCAAAACCAGAAACAGUGUGCAAGCAGCAACAGCAGCACGUACAACGCCCGCUAACAACAAAAAUUCAACACAAACCCCUUAAAUCACGCAAACCCCUCUCUCUCCAUCUUAUCUCUGCAAUUUUUAGCUUGAUUGUUGACUUUGGAAUUCUUUUAUUUCUUGCCAAAAUCUGAUCUAAAUCAGGUGUAAUAAACUCAAAUCCGGAUUUUUGGGGUAUGUCUUCCCCCACUAGUGUUUUUCUUCAAUUUGCUCAAUCAAUUUGAGAGACCCUGCUCAAAAGGCUAUUUGGGGAACUAAAAUCAAUAUUUCCCCUAUAAAUAGACGUUGAGGGGAAGAAGAAAAAGAAGGGGAUUUUAGGGAAAAAUUUGGAGGUUCGGGAGGCGCACGCUUCUAACCUCACGCAACCAAAAUUCUCAAAGAACACACUCGAAAAAGUUGAUUCCGAUGAAAGAUUAAAAUUCUGACGAACCAAAAUUGAAACAUCGUUGGAAAAGGUCCGGCGUAAUAGGCUUGUUCGUCCCAGUAUCGCUGCCCAAAAAUAGCUGAUCGAUCUUAUAGCUUCUCCCUCUUGUUGACCUGCUACUUUCAUCUUACUAAGUGACAUAUACUAAUAUACAUGGCUGAAAAUACUACAACUGAUGAGGCAGUGCCAGUGAUCCUAGGCAAUGAAAGCACUAAUUCACAUAUUGCGCGUCAAACACAUUCUGUUCAGACGACGGUAAAGAAAGAAAGAAAGAAAGAAAGAAAAGUCUCGUGCAUGGAAUCAUUUUGAAUUAUUUGUUGAUGAGGAAGGAAAUAAGAAAUCAAGGUGUAAGCAUUGUGGUCAAGAUUAUUUUGCCGAUUCAAAUAAAAAUGGUACCACGACAAUGCUUACUCAUUUGUUAACAUGUUCAAAGAUGCCUCGAAAUCAAACUGUUGACAAAAAUCAAACCGAAAUAGGCUUUCAAUCUGUUCAGGGGGGUGUUGCGGGUGAUGUUGUUGUUGUUUUGUGGAAAUUUGAGCAAGAACAAUGUAGGAGAGCUUUAUGUCGCUUGGUGACUGUGGAUGAACUCCCCUUCAAGUUUGUUGAGAAGGAAGGUUUUAGAAACUUUAUGAAAGUAGUGCAACCUCAUUUUAAGAUUUCUUCUCGUAACACUGUGACAUGUGACUGUUUUAAAUUAUUUGAUGAAGAGAAACAAAAGUUGAAGAGGUCUUUUAGAGACGCCCAACAAAGAGUCUGUCUUACCACUGAUACUUAGACCUCUUUGCAGCGAAUUAAUUAUAUGUGCAUCACUGCACAUUAGAUAGACAGUAAAUGGAUUAUGCACAAGAGAAUAAUUAACUUUUGUCCAAUUACUAGUCACAGAGGUGAAGACAUGGCUAAUGAGACUAGUAAGUGUUUACGUGAUUGGGGCAUCGAUAAAAUUUUUACUAUCACAGUUGAUAAGUCUAGUUCGAACAACGUGACUGAGAAAGAGUUAGCUAAGAUAUUCACUAAACGGGGAACCAAUUUCAUGAAUGGAGAACACCUUCAUGUAAGGUGUAUGGCUCACAUUAUUAAUCUCAUUGUCCAAGAUGGUUUGAAAGUGACUAGUGUGUCCAUUAAAAAGGUUAGAAAAGAAGUGAAAUACAUAAGGCAGUCCGCUGCAAGGUGUAAGAGGUUCCAAGAAUGUUGUGAAGAUGUUGAUAUCAAUAGUAAAAAAUCGUUAUGUUUGGAUGUUUCUACGAGGUGGAACUCUACAUAGUUGAUGUUGAAUAGG
Long non-coding RNA from Capsicum annuum, 1827 nucleotides. RefSeq lists it as uncharacterized. Lineage: Eukaryota; Viridiplantae; Streptophyta; Magnoliopsida; Solanales; Solanaceae. The record is from RefSeq and is a predicted model, not a curated record. The transcript is spliced from 3 exons.